This 463-nucleotide ribosomal RNA is filed under the name uncultured bacterium. Its description in RNAcentral is "bacterial SSU rRNA". It matches the Rfam family "Bacterial small subunit ribosomal RNA", at positions 34 to 498 of the family's 1533-position model. The record is from RNAcentral.
CGCUGGCGGCAUGCCUUACACAUGCAAGUCGAACGGUAGAGUAGCAAUACUCGAGAGUGGCGAACGGGUGAGUAAUAUAUCGGAACGUGCCCAAUCGUGGGGGAUAACGUAGAGAAAUUUACGCUAAUACCGCAUACGAUCUAAGGAUGAAAGCAGGGGAUCGCAAGACCUCGCGCGAUUGGAGCGGCUGAUAUCAGAUUAGGUUGUUGGUGAGGUAAAAGCUCACCAAGCCGACGAUCUGUAGCUGGUUUGAGAGAACGACCAGCCACACUGGGACUGAGACACGGCCCAGACUCCUACGGGAGGCGGCAGUGGGGAAUUUUGGACAAUGGGCGAAAGCCUGAUCCAGCAAUGCCGCGUGCAGGAAGAAGGCCUUCGGGUUGUAAACUGCUUUUGUACGGAACGAAACGGCUCUUUCUAAUAAAGAGGGCUAAUGACGGUACCUGAAGAAUAAGCACCGGCU